Molecule: transfer RNA, 71 nt
Filed under: Podura aquatica (water springtail)
Lineage: Eukaryota; Metazoa; Arthropoda; Collembola; Poduromorpha; Poduridae
Description: tRNA-Ser
Source: RNAcentral
AAGAAAAGGAGGGGUUAAUAAUAAGCCGCUAACUUACUUAUUUAGCAGUUCAACUCUGUUACCUUAUCUUA